Molecule: long non-coding RNA, 1282 nt
Filed under: Marmota monax (woodchuck)
Lineage: Eukaryota; Metazoa; Chordata; Mammalia; Rodentia; Sciuridae
Source: RNAcentral
AGCCUACGCAGCAGAGUCAGGGGACCCUUUGCACUUGACUCAGUUUGUACCCACAGGGAGCUGUGUCCCAGCUCUGUGGCCCCAGUCUCCCUCUGGGACCCCCUGAACACUCCACCUUCCACAAGGGGACUGUCCCUUCCCGCAUUGCCAGAAUUCCCUGGUCACAAGCAUAGCAUUUACGUCCAGUUGGUCUUCCAGUCCCCUCCCUUGGCCAGAUGGUUCCUCCUUGGCUGCCAGAGAGAAUCUGGUUGUCCUUCAGGAUUCAGCCCUUGCAGCACCCCUAGGAGCCUUCCCUGACCCCACCGCAGGCGGGCCAGGUCCCUUCCUGUUUGCUAUUCUGAAUAGUGGCCUUCACGUCACACUGAGGGGAGUCAUCCCUUGUUCCUUUCACUAACAUCCCUCCUACCCUCUUCUCACUGGGAGUCGGGCCUGCUGCUGAGCACAAAAGAUCAUGUCCACGUGACCCACCUGUGUUUCUGGGAGCAGACAAGCCCAGGACCAGGGGUGACCUGGCUUCCUGGAGGGCUGGUGCAUUCCAGAGGACUUAAGUGGGACAGAGAAGUGCGGAGCCUGGGGGCUGCUCUCACCUCUGCCCUGGCAGGAAAGUGGCCUUUCCUUCGCACUGGGAACCAUGAGUCAUGGACAUUGAUGGGGCAGGAUUGGAACAAGGAGGGAGACAGAGCCAACACAAGGUCUGUGCUUAGCUUCUAGACGGCCAUCUUAAGUGACAGCCGCCAUUUUAAGGAAAAAGUUUGGCUUUCCUGCCCAAGGGCCUUGCUGAGAAAGGCUCACCACUCCCUCAUAACAACCCAACUCUUAGCCACCUGCAUUAGGACCCACCUGGCUCUGAUUCCUGAGUCUCCCCAUAAAAGUCCCAGAACCCAAGUCUGUCCUGCCUCUCUCUCCCACAGAGAGAGGGCCUUUAUUUGUCAGCUCUGACAGAUAAACUCUCUAGUGUAUCUCUGCCUGGUCUCCGUUUUUCGUUUCUCACUCGCUGGUCUCUGGUUCCUCGCUUUCCCUUCAGCCAAGGCACUUUGGUCUCACUUCCUGUGAGUCGGUGUGAAAUGGGCCACAGGAGCUGCCGACCUCAGCUCUCAGGGACACCCCACCCAGUGAGACCAGCUCCAUAGACAAGUACCUUGAAGCUGGGUUUGUGGGCAAGACAAAAGCUCAGAUGUUUCUGGUCCCUCAUGUCAUGUCACAGUCUAGUCUGUGUCUUCAUCAGAUGGCGGAGCCCUAAAGACAUAGAUGAGCAGGGUCAUCAGAUAACCUGAUCUUCAAG